GGUGCUGUGGCUUAGUUGGUACAAAGUACCUGUCUUGUAAACAGGAGAUCCUGGGUUCAAAUCCUAGCAGCACCU
Non-coding RNA from Etheostoma cragini (Arkansas darter), 75 nucleotides. Lineage: Eukaryota; Metazoa; Chordata; Actinopteri; Perciformes; Percidae. The record is from the annotation of a RefSeq genome assembly.